This is a non-coding RNA of Pelobates cultripes (western spadefoot toad), 2136 nucleotides long. Lineage: Eukaryota; Metazoa; Chordata; Amphibia; Anura; Pelobatidae. The record is from the annotation of a GenBank genome assembly.
GCUCGGGCGGCUGCAGCAUGGGGGGGCGGGGCUGGUCAUGGCAUCCCCCAUCCUGGUGGCAGAUAUAGCAGAUGUAUAAUAUGAUAAGACGUGGUUGAUUAAAGGUAGUAAGCUGUGAGAUAUCUGAACUUACGCAUCCGUUUCUAUCCAGAUGAUGCGAACUUAGUGCCCAAAUGAGGGGUUGCAAAUAGGACGUAGGUGUCCACUGAGGUCACCUGAAGGUCACCAAUAGACGGCCUUGUGUAGGGAAUAUGCAUGUGAGGUCGAGAGAGGCCCAAUGUAGUUUCUGUGGUACUGGGAAGUUACGUAAGGCUGAGUAGGACUUAAUGGGAGGGGUUGGAAGUUUUUUAAGUUGUUGAUCGGUUGAAGGUUAGUGAUUAUGAAAGCGUAGCUAUAAUUGAAAUAUGGUCAUGCUGACUUAGUAAAGUAACAUUCUGCGUAACAGAUGAUUGUUGUAGAGUCUACGCGGUGAACAUAAUAGAGAUGCUGAAACUAAAUAUACUAUGUACCUGCUGAGUCCAAUGACCUGAUGGCAGACAUACAGGACACAAUUGCCAGGAAUAUAGGCUGAGACCUGUGGAAUGCAGUAGUGUCUGUACUGAUGUAAGACCAUAAAGGUCAUAACUAUACUAAGUGGUGUCAAACACUGUAUGUAGGAGGAGACAGGUUUUCCAAUACAUCCGGUAAAAAGGCAUACUGAAGAAAUGUAUUUGGCAGUUGAUUAAUACUUUACAUACAUAUAUGGCAAGUAAAAUAACAUGGAGAGUAAUUGCUAGUACCAGACUACACAUAGAAUACAUGAGGAAAUAACCAAAUACAUGACUACAAUGCUUUAAUUGAACAUUACUACGUAAGGUACCAUGAGUAUAAUCACCCUCCUAACUAUAAGUAACAGUAAUUCCUAAACCCGCUAUAAGAUGAUAAAAUAUAGUAAGUAACGUGGCAGAAUCUGGCUGAAACACGUUUGGAUUUGGGCCGGGAAUAUAUAACACAACGCAUUAGUAGAGGAUGGCCAUAUGUGGGCCGGAGCAAUUUGGACAGAAUAGGGACGAGACAGUAUAGUCUGUUCGUUCGGCUGAAUGAGGGUCGUGUUUGCGAGGGACUGGGGGAAUCAAAGAAGUGUUGGCAUUCGUAUACCGAACGCGUGGUGACAUGCCAUAGGCCCGUGGCCCAAAACUCAGUCAUUCUGUCAACCAAAUGUCGGCCGAGGAGAUACAUGGGACUGAGGGAAGCUGGAGGAUAGUAUACCAAUGAAUAACUUGAAAGAUGAGCCUAAAGUCUGGCUGCAGGAUGUUGAGCCGGAAGCUUGCAGGAGAAGGCCUCGGUUCGGACCCCGCGGUAGAAGUGAGCCAGCAGCGGGAAAUUGGCUGAGGCAGGCGGUUAGUGCUUGGAGCUGGGUGAGAAGCUGCAGUCUGGUGACCCAGCAUCUUAGAGGUAAUUUGUGAGUGCAUAGGUAUGCCUACUGAACCAAGCGUGAACAGCCCAGUGAGAGGGGUGGCCCGAGCUUAUAUAGCCGGGUAACGCCUCCCACAAUUACAGGCCUUUCUAUAUAUAUUUGGGAGUCAAGCCAACUUUUUCCCCCCAAGUAAAUAGCUCAUGAAGCAGACAUUAGGCUGUUAGAGUAGGACCUGCCAAAGAUGGGGUUCAUUGACGUUUUAUUUUUUGCCUAGAUUAGGUGUUUUUAAAAAACUAACAAAAUCUGUCAGCACCGAAGUUGCUGUUUAGUGGAUAAGGGAGUGCACUGGAUAUUCUUUUUUAUUGCACUCUCCGACUUAACAAGAUCUCAGACUGUGCAAGCCAAGAAGUCAAGAGAGAGUGUGGAUAGUAUAAUGAAAUGCAAGUACAGAAACACUGCUACACACAACAACACACAUUACUACAUUCAAGCAGAGGAUAACACCAGUCAGUCACUCCAGAUAGUGACAAUGUACUUAAAGCUGUGCAAUAUAGUAACAGAGGUUGUCAACUAAACUUUCCCUGUGCAACAAGAUAACUGCCCCAGCAAAUCUGAGCAGCAAUAUGCUUACAAGGAAUGUUUGGGGUGGUAGCUGAGAAAAGAAUGACAAAUGAGAAGACAAACUUUACUUAUUAGUAGUUAGUAAAUAACUAAAGAUGAACCGUUUUUAUACAGCCAUG